This 734-nucleotide ribosomal RNA is filed under the name uncultured Fusobacterium sp. RNAcentral describes it as "bacterial SSU rRNA". It matches the Rfam family "Bacterial small subunit ribosomal RNA", at positions 28 to 776 of the family's 1533-position model. Lineage: Bacteria; Fusobacteriati; Fusobacteriota; Fusobacteriia; Fusobacteriales; Fusobacteriaceae. The record is from RNAcentral.
GAUGAACGCUGACAGAAUGCUUAACACAUGCAAGUCUACUUGAAUUUGGGUUUUUAACUUAGAUUUGGGUGGCGGACGGGUGAGUAACGCGUAAAGAACUUGCCUCACAGCUAGGGACAACAUUUAGAAAUGAAUGCUAAUACCUAAUAUUAUGAUAAUAGGGCAUCCUAUAAUUAUGAAAGCUAUAUGCGCUGUGAGAGAGCUUUGCGUCCCAUUAGCUAGUUGGAGAGGUAACAGCUCACCAAGGCGAUGAUGGGUAGCCGGCCUGAGAGGGUGAUCGGCCACAAGGGGACUGAGACACGGCCCUUACUCCUACGGGAGGCAGCAGUGGGGAAUAUUGGACAAUGGACCGAGAGUCUGAUCCAGCAAUUCUGUGUGCACGAUGAAGUUUUUCGGAAUGUAAAGUGCUUUCAGUUGGGAAGAAAGAAAUGACGGUACCAACAGAAGAAGUGACGGCUAAAUACGUGCCAGCAGCCGCGGUAAUACGUAUGUCACGAGCGUUAUCCGGAUUUAUUGGGCGUAAAGCGCGUCUAGGUGGUUAUAUAAGUCUGAUGUGAAAAUGCACGGCUCAACUCUGUAUUGCGUUGGAAACUGUAUAACUAGAGUACUGGAGAGGUAAGCGGAACUACAAGUGUAGAGGUGAAAUUCGUAGAUAUUUGUAGGAAUGCCGAUGGGGAAGCCAGCUUACUGGACAGAUACUGACGCUGAACGCGAAAGCGUGGGUAGCAAACAGG